GAGCGAUCAUAAGGGAGCUGACUGCAAAUGUGCCGUCAUCGACUUCAAGGUUCGACUCGAGCAAUAGUGAGAGAACGUUGCCGUAGGCAACGGCCCGAAGGGUGAGGAGCUUUAGCUCCGAAUAAUCCUUCUCGCUAUAGAA
This 142-nucleotide small RNA is filed under the name Salmonella enterica. Its description in RNAcentral is "RtT sRNA". It matches the Rfam family "RtT RNA". Rfam says of the family: This family represents a bacterial cis-regulatory element known as RtT RNA. The exact function of RtT is unknown although it is thought that it may be involved in changing the cellular response in relation to amino acid starvation. The record is from RNAcentral. RNAcentral also lists the same sequence under 2 other names. Lineage: Bacteria; Pseudomonadati; Pseudomonadota; Gammaproteobacteria; Enterobacterales; Enterobacteriaceae.